AUUCCCAUCACCCCCAAAAACCCUUAAAUCAUUUUUCUCCUCUUCCUCUCGAAGAAUGCAGCAGCGCCGCACCCUCCAUACUCUCUUUUCCUCGCCUCCACUCUCCUCCGACUGGCGAGACCACGCUGCUCUGACCGCCACCACCGGUGAGGCUCCCCCUUGCCUCCUCCAUUUGCUCUCUCUCUCCCCCGGAAAAACCCCAUCACCAGCCACCUCCUUCUCCUCUUCUCCCUCCAUCCCCCUUUCUUCUCUUUUUCGCCGAUGGAAACACCGACGAACCACCAAUCGACCCUCAUCCGUCGGUGAGAUCGACAACAACAAAAUGACGAUUUAUGCUUGUAGCUUCGGCCAGCGAGCCAGCGCGAGGACUAGCCAGCUACAAGCGCCGCCUCCACUUCUCUUUUCUCGGGUGAGGUUGAGUAAAAUAAAAACAGGAGCGUUAAAGCUCCGACCAGUCGACUCCGGGAGGUCGAUAACAACGCACCGAGCUCCGACUAGCCACUCCGAUCAAUGGAUAUGAUGGAAACAACGAGCACCAUUUUGGAUGUAGUUUGGUCAGCAUGAAGCUUCAAGAUUUUGGCUUAUUAAAGACAAAUCCUUACAGAUCUGUCCGAGUUCAUUGUUUCAAGUUGGGCAUCAGAUCGAGUUAUUUCUUGCUGGCUUAUUUUCUCUGCUUAACUGGUUAGUGUUUCUAUUCAAGUUAAUUUCUGUUUUGCAUUAGUGUACUAUUUAAUUUAAUUUAAUUUGUAACAAAUAAAAAGGAAAGCAUCCGGGUCAGUUUUUUUUAAUUCCUUCUUGCUAUGUGUGUGAUUUCAUACUCUUCAUAACUUGUCUGAAUUCUUGUAUAUCUGUUUUCUGCCUAUGUAUAUGAAAUAAUUAAUAUUAUGUGCGUAAGUUGAUGCCUAUAAUUAAUAUUAUCAUCUUGCUAUAUUAGACUGCCUUUAUGUGUUGUAUAUUUGUCGGUAUCUCCCUUUUGUUUAACAAGGUUUUGAACAUAAGGUUAAAGAUGUCGAAGAGUUCGCCUGGGACCGAAAUUCCGGACGGAAUUAGUUUUGCUUAGACUUUUAUGUAUUAUUAUUGCUUUAUUUCAAUUUUUUUGUAAUAAUUUUGUAUACUCCAACUGCUCCAUACAUAUAUGAAAUAACUUGGGAGAACCGUCUAAAGGGGGAGACAAAGGCGAAUCCAGGAUUUAAAGAUAGGGGGGUACCACUAAGAGUGGCUCAAGGGUAAGGCUCAGAGUAGCUUAAGGGUAAGUUAGCAAAGCGCCUUGCUUAGGCCUCCAAAAUUUUGAGGCCCCAAUAAUUUUGGCUUAAGGAUAAGGUUAGAAAAAUACAACAUCUUUCUUCAUACUAUACUCUAACCAUCUAGAAUAUUAAACCUUAAUUAACCAUGCCUUACAAAAUCGACGCAUUUUCGUUUCGAAUCUAAUUUGAGGAUAUUCAUUACCAUUAAUAUCCGGUCGACAAGGCCCACGUUGAAUAUAGUGUCUUCUCACUUCAUCUCGUAAUCCAGGGAUAUAUUUAUCAAUGGAUAUUCUUUCUCCAGGACCCGGUUUAAGUGAUUGCAAAUCAAACUCAUCUAUAAAAUACGAAGAAUUGUCUCUAAAACUAGCACUUGGUUGAGAAGAAUUAUGUUUCGUUAAAAAUCUAUCAAUUUCAAAUCACAAGAAUCAACAACAAAUUCUUACAAAAAAAAUACGCUUAUAAAGAAGAACUUACCAAUUUAUGCAAGAUAAUGGGAGUAGGACUUCAAUUAUGCAGUGAAGAAUACUUGUAAGUUGUAGAUUUUCUUGCCGUCUUAUAUUUUGUUUAAAACUGUGUUAGGGCUUUUAUUUGUUUUUAAUUUCAAUUAAGAAAAGAAUGGGGCCAGACGAGAUGGCAAAAAUAGGGUGGUUAAGAAGGGGGUGGGGAUGAUGAGGUGGCAAUUUUUUAAAAAAGGUUAACUGUAAUGCAAAAAUGAUUUUAAAGGAAAAAAACACAGUCUUUCACGGGAUUCGAACUCACGUAGUCGCGGUCGGAAAUUGCAGCUUUGACCAAUGCACUAGGCGUCUUUUUGUUACAAGGGUGCACAAUCAAAUAUAUUAUUAUUUUAUCAAAUAUAUAUAUAUA
Molecule: long non-coding RNA, 2108 nt
Organism: Solanum tuberosum (potato)
Lineage: Eukaryota; Viridiplantae; Streptophyta; Magnoliopsida; Solanales; Solanaceae
Exons: 2
Source: RefSeq, a predicted model, not a curated record